ACAUGAUUGACUUUACUAAUUAAGAACAUUUUGUAAGUUUUGCUAUUAGCUGUAUUUGUUAUUAUGUCCAUUUUUAUAACCUUUAGAUUUUUUUCAUGUCUACUUACCUUUCUAGGUAAAAACAAACCUACUGUUGAUCGUACCUUAACUUACAUUCCAGCUCCAACUUCGGAAGGGUUUUAUGAUGUUACCUCGCCUAACAAAUUAAGGAACUCUCCUCUGCUGAUUCUGGUGGUCUCUCAGUCCAAGGGAACCGUGAUGAAGAAAUAACUGAAAGUCCCACAGGGUUUGGCUAGCAGGCCUGGAAAUACCUUGGACAUUUGGGUGACCCUUGGAUCAAAAGAGGGGAUUGUGAUAGAAUUUAUCUUGAUUCCAAAGCUCAAGCUUAUAGGUGUCAUAUAAUGAUAUCCUAUAUUAAAAUUGACUAACUUGGACUCAGGAAAUACUUGAUGCUUAAAAUGACACUGAAGACCAUAUAUGUCUAGUUCCGGGAGCAGAUAGCCCCCACCUGAGAUGUCUCUUCUCAUAUCAUUCUGUUCUUUCUCUU
Molecule: non-coding RNA, 547 nt
Organism: Pelobates cultripes (western spadefoot toad)
Lineage: Eukaryota; Metazoa; Chordata; Amphibia; Anura; Pelobatidae
Source: the annotation of a GenBank genome assembly